UACUAACGUACGANAAGAUAUCGAACCGCAUGGUUCGAUAGUGAAAGAUGGUUUUUGCUAUCACUUAUAGAUGGACCCGCGCCGUAUUAGCUAGUUGGUGAGGUAACGGCUCACCAAGGCAACGAUACGUAGCCGACCUGAGAGGGUGAUCGGCCACACUGGAACUGAGACACGGUCCAGACUCCUACGGGAGGCAGCAGUU
This 202-nucleotide ribosomal RNA is filed under the name uncultured Staphylococcus sp. Its description in RNAcentral is "partial 16S ribosomal RNA". It matches the Rfam family "Bacterial small subunit ribosomal RNA", at positions 161 to 355 of the family's 1533-position model. The record is from RNAcentral. Lineage: Bacteria; Bacillati; Bacillota; Bacilli; Caryophanales; Staphylococcaceae.